Molecule: long non-coding RNA, 657 nt
Organism: Halichondria panicea
Lineage: Eukaryota; Metazoa; Porifera; Demospongiae; Suberitida; Halichondriidae
Exons: 3
Source: RefSeq, a predicted model, not a curated record
GGUCAGAUAUUUUUGUGUGGGCCCUAUGGCUAUGCUAUCAAGUCUUGUUCAUGUUUGGCAAGAUCUACCGGUAUGUAGGUAGACUAUAGUUUCAUCAUUAAUAUGGUGGAUCAAGUGAAGAGUGUGAGCUAGAGAACUUGGUGCUGCCAUCAUCAGCUCGUCGACAAUGACACUAACCUGUUUAAUACGAGAAAUUUAAUAUGUAUAGAUCUACACGUAUUUAAAAUGUCUACUUCUCUGUACAGGAGCAAUGGCUAAUAUCCAGCUAUCCCAACAGUGCUCCUCUUGGCUAUACUAACGGACGAGACUGGACAGUUUGAGGACUGGAGUAUGACCUGCUCAUUCGAGUGUUGCUGGGUAGCUCAGAGACAUCAAGAGAAUCUACGUUUUCUCAAGCAAAAUUUAACUGAGUUACGAGUUGGGGCCUAGAAUCAGAGAAGUCCAGCAGCCUGCUAAAUCUUUUUGAAACGUAAUUUGAAGGCAUUCAAUCAUCCUGAAGUUGCCCUGGGUCACUGUAAUUGUGCUGCAGCACAACUGGCAACUCCCCAGGCCUUUGUGAAGCAGCUCCCUAUGUGCAUCUUUUGUGUACUCACUCUGUGCAUUUUCUGUGUACAAAUUUCGAUUAUUGAUUUAUUAAAUAUUUUUGCCAACCACAAA